AACGAACACGCAGAGCCACUCAGCCCGCCGAUUCCAGUUCUGCCCCGAUUUGAGACUGCCCAAAUCUCUGGCAAACGCCAAACAAAGCUCCGUGGAAACUGCCGCCUAAGGCCUUUGACAUGGUCCUCCGUAACAUCCUUCUCUCCAAAUUGGAGAGGUAUGAAUUUGACGGGUGGGACUGUUCGAUGGACAACGAAGCAGUUGCAAGAUUGUACCCAGAGAAUGAUGGUCAAUGGCACAAUGGCCGGAUGGAGAUCAGUGACAAGUGGUGUCCCUCAGGGGUCUUUUCUGGAACUGAUGCACCCUAAUGUCUUCACCAGUGACAUCGGCAGAGGGAUCGAGUGCGCUCUUCAAGUCUGCUGAUGACAUCAAGCUGUGGGGUGCACUUGGCACACCUGAGGGACAGGAUGCCAUCCAGACAGACCUGGGCAGGCUUGAGCAGCGGGCCCAGGAGGACCUUGUGAGGUUUACACAAAGCCAAGUGCAAGGUCUUGCACCUGGGUCAUGGCAACCCUCACUACCAAUACAAAUUGAGGGAUGUAAGGAUGGAGCACAGCCCUGAUGAAGAGGACUUCAAGGUACUGGUGGAUCGGAAGCUGGACAUGAGCGAGCAAUGUGCUGGCGCAGCCCCGAAAGCCAGCCAUGUCCUGAGCUGCAUCAAAAGAAGUGUGGCCAGCAGGUCAACAGUGGUGAUCCUGCCCCUCUGCUCUACGCUGGUGAGGCCUUACCUGGAGUACUGCGUUCACAUGUGGAGUCCUCACUACAGGAGAGGCAUGGGCUUGCUGGAGCAUGUCGAGAAAAGGGCCACAAAAAUGAUCCAAGGAAUGGAACACCUCUCCUACAAGGAUAGGCUGAGAGAGCUGGGACUGUUUGGCCUCGAGAAGAGAAGGCUCCGAGGUGAACUGAGAGCCACCUUUCAGUAUCUGAAGGGAGUCUGUAAGAAGGUAGGAGACAGACUCUUUAUCAGGACCUGCAGUGAUAGGAUAGGGGGAAAUUGUCUCAAACUAAAAGAGGGGAGAUUGAGGCUGGGUAUAAUGAAAAAGUUUUUUACAGUAAGGGUAGUGAAGCAAUGAAGCACAUUGCCCAGAGAGGUGAUAGAUGCCCUGUUCCUGGAGACAUCCUAGGUCAGACUGAGCAUGGCUCUGAGCAAUCUGAUUUAGCUGUAAGUAUCCCUGUUCACUGCAGGGGAGUUGAACGAAAUGCCCCUUAAAGAUCUCUUCCAACUGAAAUAUUUCUGUGACCCUUUGAAAAUGUUUAGAUGUUGUGCUUUCAGACCUGUUUAUGUAAAUUUAUUUCCUAUGACCAUGUCUUUAUUUCAGCCUGCCAUGCGUCUCUCUGGACUCUCUGUGGUCCCUCUAGGGUGAGGCCCACUAGGCAGGUGCAUCUGUCUCUGAGGACAAUUCCUACGUUCACCAAGCUCAGAUCUGCAUUUGCCCAACAGUGUGGGACCAGGUAUACGUGAGGUGCCCUCAGCGCUGCCUGGAUGGUGCAAGGGGAGCCUGCUGCUCUGCAGGCCUGCACCCACCACUGAGUUCACCACCUCACUGUGUGUUUUGAUGUCUUUUAUAUCAGUCAUGCUUUGGAAUAUCCCCAGUAAACUAUUACCUUUGUUCUUGUUUCUACCAGACAGUAUUAUAUAUAUCCUUCUAUGUUCUGUAAUGCUAAGGCUCCCGUGUUAGUAAUUUCCAUUGUGAGUCUGUGUCCAGGCUCCGAAUGUGUGUGCAGACUUAAUUUGCUCUGAUAAUAUCUCCUUGCUGUUUCAGAGCUGAGUACUGAUUUGGAUGCAAGUUGCCCAGCACAGAACACUUUUUUUUUUGCUGUCAAAGAGUGAACUGAUUACUUCUGUAACUAGGGCAGGCAUGUCCAACACACAGCCCAUGUGCUGCAUGAGACACAGUCCUGCCCAUCCCACAGCUGCACCAUCACAGUGCCCUGCACCAUCAUGGUGGCAGCUCUGCCCUGCUAAGUGGCCUGGCCCAGCCCCAGAGACACACUCAUCACUCAGCAACAAACAAACUUCAGCAUGCAGUUGGCACUGUCUGGGCUAAAAUCAGGACAUGGAGAGAGCACAGUGCAGGUCUAACUCAAGUUAUGGCAAAUAAUUGUAUGCAUUGUGAUACACUGGGUAAACACAGUUCUGUGAACAGUGAAAAAUAGGCAGUCAUGCUUUUCAUUUUGACAGUGGGAUUCGAUGAUAGGUUUCAAGAUUGGAAAAAAAUUUUUUUUUUUUUGUAUACUUACAACUCCUUUUUCAGUAGACAUAAAUGUAUUACCUGAGAAUUUUGAAGUGGAAUGUUUAGAGUUGCAAUCAGCAUCUCAGAAAACUGAUCAUGUCGCUUUAUCAGACUUUUAUAAGUACUAUCUUAGGAAAGAGAAAUAUCUCUCACUUCACAAUGACACCUUAUUCAUGUCAUCACUUUUUUGGCAGUAUGUAAACAACUGUUUGUAAACAACUGUUUUCAAGAAUGGAGUGCAGAAAGCAAAGUUUCAUCAAAAUCUCAGUCAAGUACCUUGAGAACUCAUGGCGAAUUGCAACUACUUCCAUCAAACCAGCCUGAUGCAUUGGUUUCACAAAAACAUGGUCUAAUAUCCCAUUAGUCUUAUGGUUUCGUUGCCCUAUUUUUUAUGUUUUAAUUAAAAAAAAUAGAAAAAAA
Long non-coding RNA from Numida meleagris (helmeted guineafowl), 2654 nucleotides. RefSeq lists it as uncharacterized. The record is from RefSeq and is a predicted model, not a curated record. NCBI's taxonomy places the organism in Eukaryota, Metazoa, Chordata, Aves, Galliformes, Numididae. The transcript has 2 exons.